AGAGUUUGAUCAUGGCUCAGAUUGAACGCUGGCGGCAGGCUUAACACAUGCAAGUCGAACGAUGAAACUCUAGCUUGCUAGAGAAGAUUAGUGGCGGACGGGUGAGUAACAUUUAGGAAUCUGCCUAGUAAUGGGGGAUAGCUCGGGGAAACUCGAAUUAAUACCGCAUACGACCUACGGGUGAAAGGGGGCGCAAGCUCUUGCUAUUAGAUGAGCCUAAAUCAGAUUAGCUAGUUGGUGGGGUAAAGGCCCACCAAGGCGACGAUCUGUAACUGGUCUGAGAGGAUGAUCAGUCACACCGGAACUGAGACACGGUCCGGACUCCUACGGGAGGCAGCAGUGGGGAAUAUUGGACAAUGGGGGCAACCCUGAUCCAGCCAUGCCGCGUGUGUGAAGAAGGCCUUUUGGUUGUAAAGCACUUUAAGCAGGGAGGAGAGGCUAAUGGUUAAUACCCAUUAGAUUAGACGUUACCUGCAGAAUAAGCACCGGCUAACUCUGUGCCAGCAGCCGCGGUAAUACAGAGGGUGCGAGCGUUAAUCGGAAUUACUGGGCGUAAAGCGAGUGUAGGUGGCUCAUUAAGUCACAUGUGAAAUCCCCGGGCUUAACCUGGGAACUGCAUGUGAUACUGGUGGUGCUAGAAUAUGUGAGAGGGAAGUAGAAUACCAGGUGUAGCGGUGAAAUGCGUAGAGAUCUGGAGGAAUACCGAUGGCGAAGGCAGCUUCCUGGUAUAAUAUUGACACUGAGAUUCGAAAGCGUGGGUAGCAAACGGGAUUAGAUACCCUGGUAGUCCACGCCGUAAACGAUGUCUACUAGCCGUUGGGGUCCUUGAGACUUUAGUGGCGCAGUUAACGCGAUAAGUAGACCGCCUGGGGAGUACGGCCGCAAGGUUAAAACUCAAAUGAAUCGACGGGGGCCCGCACAAGCGGUGGAGCAUGUGGUUUAAUUCGAUGCAACGCGAAGAACCUUACCUGGUCUUGACAUAGUGAGAAUCCUGCAGAGAUGCGGGAGUGCCUUCGGGAAUUCACAUACAGGUGCUGCAUGGCUGUCGUCAGCUCGUGUCGUGAGAUGUUGGGUUAAGUCCCGCAACGAGCGCAACCCUUUUCCUUAUUUGCCAGCGGGUUAAGCCGGGAACUUUAAGGAUACUGCCAGUGACAAACUGGAGGAAGGCGGGGACGACGUCAAGUCAUCAUGGCCCUUACGACCAGGGCUACACACGUGCUACAAUGGUAGGUACAGAGGGUUGCUACACAGCGAUGUGAUGCUAAUCUCAAAAAGCCUAUCGUAGUCCGGAUUGGAGUCUGCAACUCGACUCCAUGAAGUCGGAAUCGCUAGUAAUCGCAGAUCAGAAUGCUGCGGUGAAUACGUUCCCGGGCCUUGUAGA
RNAcentral lists this ribosomal RNA (1381 nucleotides) under uncultured bacterium. RNAcentral describes it as "bacterial SSU rRNA". It matches the Rfam family "Bacterial small subunit ribosomal RNA". The record is from RNAcentral.